UAAAAAUUAAGCAUAGAUAAAUGUCAGUCAGCCUCACUAAGGUGAAACCGCGAAUGGCUCAUUAAAUCAUUCCUGAUACACUGGAUAGUAACAGUUACUUGGAUAACUGCGGUAAUUCUGGAGCUAAUACAUGCGACCAAGCCCCGAACUCACGUGACGGGCGCUUUUAUUAGAUCAAGACCAAACCCCCUCGGGGGUCCCUUGGUGACUCUGAAUAACCUCCUGCUGAUCGCACGGCCUCGCGCCGGCGACGUAUCUUUCUAAGGAAUGACCUAUCAACUGUCGACUGUGGCAUAGACGCCCACAGUGGUUUUGACGGGUAACGGGGAAUCAGGGUUCGAUUCCGGAGAGGGAGCCUGAGAAACGGCUACCACUUCUAAGGAAGGCAGCAGGCGCGCAAAUUACCCAAUGGGCGAAGCCCGAGGUAGUGACGAAAAAUAACGAUACCGGACUCAUCCGAGGCCCGGUAAUCGGAAUGAGAACAGUCUAAAUCCUUUAACGAGGACCCAUCGGAGGGCAAGUCUGGUGCCAGCAGCCGCGGUAAUUCCAGCUCCGAUAGUCUAUGCAAACGUUGUUGCGGUUAAAAAGCUCGUAGUUGGAUGUCGGCAGCGACGGGCCGGUUCGCUUUUGGCGUGACUGGUCCUGCUCGCUGUGAUUUGAGCGGAGGCGUCCGGGUGCUCUUAACCGAGUGUCCGUUCGCGCCGCUCGUUUUACCUUGAAUAAAUCAAAGUGCUCAAGGCAGGCUUCACAAGCCCGUAUUCCCGCGCAUGGAAAAAUGGAAUAGGACGUCGUUUCUAUUCUGUUGGUUUUCGGAAACGACGUAUUGAUUGAAAGGGACAGUCGGGGGCGUUCGUAUUCAGACCCUAGAGGUGAAAUUCUUGGACCGUCUGAAGACGCAUUACUGCGAAAGCAUUCGCCAAGAAUGUUUUCAUUAAUCAAGAACGAAAGUUAGAGGUUCGAAGGCGAUCAGAUACCGCCCUAGUUCUAACCAUAAACGAUGCCAGCCAGCGAUCCGCAGUUGUCAUUUAAGUCACUGCGGGAAGCUUCCGGGAAACCAAAGCCUUUGGGUUCCGGGGGAAGUAUGGUUGCAAAGCUGAAACUUGAAGGAAUUGACGGAAGGGCACCACCAGGAGUGGAGCCUGCGGCUUAAUUUGACUCAACACGGGAAAUCUCACCAGGCCCGGACACUGGAAGGAUUGACAGAUUGAGAGCUCUUUCUCGAUUCGGUGGGUGGUGGUGCAUGGCCGUUCUUAGUUGGUGGAGUGAUUUGUCUGGUUAAUUCCGAUAACGAACGAGACUCUGUCCUGCUAACUAGUCCUCGCGCCUUGCGUGCGCGAGGAAAUCUUCUUAGAGGGACUGGCUGCGUCUAGCAGCACGAGAUUGAGCAAUAACAGGUCUGUGAUGCCCUUAGAUGUCCUGGGCCGCACGCGCGCUACACUGAAUGCAUCAGCGUGUCCUCCCUCCCCGAGAGGGGCGGGUAACCCGCUGAACCGCAUUCGUGGUAGGGAUCGGGGCUUGCAAUUGUUCCCCGUGAACCAGGAAUUCCCAGUAAGCGCGAGUCAUAAGCUCGCGUUGAUUACGUCCCUGCCCUUUGUACACACCGCCCGUCGCUACUACCGAUUGAACGUUUUAGUGAGGUGUUUGGACCUGGCCUGGAGGGGUUCACGCCCUUCCUGUGCCGGGGAAGAUCCCCAAACUUGAGCG
This 1704-nucleotide ribosomal RNA is filed under the name Diosaccus ezoensis. RNAcentral's name for it is "SSU rRNA". It matches the Rfam family "Eukaryotic small subunit ribosomal RNA". The record is from RNAcentral. Lineage: Eukaryota; Metazoa; Arthropoda; Copepoda; Harpacticoida; Miraciidae.